UGGGAAGUACAGAUGACUCCCCAGGUGAGACGGCAUUUGAUUGAGAGCUUAAAACAAGAGUUCCACAGAUGAGGAGAAGAAAGAAGCUUUCACUCCAGGCAGGAGGAACAGUGUGAGGCCCUGAGCAAGAAAGGGUAACAAACCAGCCAACAAAUGGGAGGUUUUUCCUGAGUGCAUGAUGAGAAAGAACUGCCAGGAAAGCUGCAGAACAGAGGUCUGAAAACAUAAGAGAAGCCAGGAAAAUGCAAGUCCUUCCUCCUGACCCUAGAAAAUCUCUGCUGCCAAGGCUGGGACUCUGCUGCCAACUUCAGGCCUGGGAAAACCAAGACUCCAGGAGCUCUACCUCUAGGAUUCUUCCAAACAUCUCACCAUGUCCUCUGAUACCUCUGUAGUCAUCUGCCACAACCUACUUCUGAAUAAAUCCUACAUUCCACCUUUC
This is a long non-coding RNA of Homo sapiens (human), 439 nucleotides long. Ensembl annotates it as long intergenic non-protein coding RNA 2400. Lineage: Eukaryota; Metazoa; Chordata; Mammalia; Primates; Hominidae. The record is from Ensembl.